GGAGGGGGCGAGCGUUGUCCGAAGUCACUGGGCGUAAAGCGCGCGUAGGCGGGCGGCUAAGUGGGGAGUGAAAGGCUGGGGCUCAACCCCAUGCAGUGCUCCUCAUACUGGUCGUCUUGAGGGCGGUAGGGAGAAGUGGAAUGGCUGGUGUAGCGGUGAAAUGCGUAGAUAUCAGUCGGAACACCGGUGGCGAAGGCGGCUUCUUGGGCCGUUCCUGACGCUGAGGCGCGAAAGCUGGGGGAGCGAACGGGAUUAGAUACCCCGGUAGUCCCAGCCGUAAACGAUGGACACUAGGUGUCGGGGGUAUCGACCCCCCCGGUGCCGCAGCUAACGCACUAAGUGUCCCGCCUGGGGAGUACGGCCGCAAGGUUG
Molecule: ribosomal RNA, 372 nt
Filed under: uncultured bacterium
Lineage: Bacteria
Description: bacterial SSU rRNA
Rfam family: Bacterial small subunit ribosomal RNA
Source: RNAcentral